Molecule: non-coding RNA, 521 nt
Organism: Oncorhynchus mykiss (rainbow trout)
Lineage: Eukaryota; Metazoa; Chordata; Actinopteri; Salmoniformes; Salmonidae
Source: RefSeq, a predicted model, not a curated record
UGCUGAGAUUUUGAUAGUUUUCAGGUUUUGAAGGGAGUUUUCACUGGAUUUACUAGAAAUGUGAAAUUGACCUGGCAAGCCUGUCUCUGCCUGAGCAUGAUCACAACAAAAGUAGCUGUGCAGCACGUUUUUUAAGGAAGAGGAGGAUGGUUGCAGACGUUCGCAUUCAUGCAAGAAGGAGAGAUGUCAGCGAUUCGGGCCAAUGACCAAGGGAAAGCUGGGACAAAAGAGGGGUUCACACGGAGAGAUGUCAGCGAUUCGGGCCAAACAACCAAUAACCAAGGGAAGACUGGGACAAAAGAGAGGCUCACACGGUGACAAAGGAACAAAAAGGUAUUGGUCGACAAUAGAGGUGGAUGCAGUUGAAGAUUCCUUGAUGAACUUUAUCCGAAUGGGGAAAAAUGCCUGGAAAACAAGACUGUGAGAAAUGCAUUGCUGCUUCUCCCCAAGCGCUUUUAAACAGGGACUGGAGAGCAGUACAGUUCUAUAGACACAACAGAAUAGUUGCAGAUCAGAGAAAA